AUGAACGUUGGCGGCGUGGAUUAGGCAUGCAAGUCGAACGCGAAUUUCCUUUCGGGGAAUAGUAGCGUGGCGAAAGGGGCAGGAAAGCAUAAGAAAUUUACCCUCAGGUCGGGGAUAUACGGUUGAAAAGCCGUGUAAUACUAGACGUUGUCGAGGUGCGGCAUCGCAUUUCGAUGAAAUGAUUUAUCGCCUGGGGAGAAUCUUAUGUCCUAUCAGCUAGUUGGUAAGGUAGUGGCUUACCAAGGCGAUGACGGGUAGGGGGUGUGAGAGCACGACCCUCGCCACUGGCACUGAGACACUGGCCAGACUCCUACGGGAGGCUGCAGUCGAGAAUCUUCGGCAAUGGGCGAAAGCCUGACCGAGCGACGCCGCGUGGAGGAAGAAGGCCUUCGGGUUGUAAACUCCUGUUGGGGGGGACCAAUUCAAUGAGAGAACCCCUGAGGAAGCACGGGCUAAGUUCGU
Molecule: ribosomal RNA, 462 nt
Filed under: uncultured bacterium
Lineage: Bacteria
Description: bacterial SSU rRNA
Rfam family: Bacterial small subunit ribosomal RNA
Source: RNAcentral